GAAGGGGGGAUAGGAAGGGCAUCAGAAUAAAAUAGACACUAGUAUUGCUGUAUAUAUAUACAUGUCUGUAUAACCAAUGUGAUUCUGCAACCUGUACACUUGGAAAAAUGAGAAAUUAUACCCCAUUUGAUUUAAAAAAAAUGUAGUGCUGUUUUAGUCAGCUUUUUCACUGCUGUGACUAAAGGAUCUGACCAGAACAAUUUUAGGGGAGGAAAAGUUUCGGAGUUUUUAGUCCCUAUACAGCCAGCUCCAUUCUCAAGGGCUCCAGAUGAGGCCGAACAUCAUGGUGGUAGACUGGGGGCAGAGGGAAGCAGCUCACAUGGUGAUCAGGAAGCAGAGAGAGAGAGAGAGAUCUCCACUUGCUUAAUACAAAUAUGUACCUUAAAGCCAUGCCCCUAAAGCCCUGAUUCCUCUAGCCACACCCCAAAUGCUUUCAGUUACCACUGAAUUAAUCCCAUCAGGUGAUUAAUUCACUGAUUGGGUUAAGGAUCUCACACCCCAAUCAUUUCCACUCUGAGCCCUCUCACACUGUCUCACAUAUGAGCUUUUGGGGGACACCUCACAUCUAAACCAUAACAAGUGCUAAGAUCUGCAAUUUGUGUUCCACCCGCAAUUUAUAUAUGUUGAAUCCUAAUCUUCAAUGUGAGGAUAUUAGAAGGUGGGGAUCUGGUUAGGUUAUGAUGGUAGAGCCAUUAUAAAAGAGCUUCUAGAAAGUUGCUGACCCUUCCACCAUAUAAGGACCUAAUGAGAACUUGCUGUCUACAAGAAAGCCAGCUCUCACCAGACACUAAGUUUACUGGUGCCUUGAUCUGGAACUUCCCAGCAUCCAGAACUAUGAGCAGUAAGUAUUUUUUUGUUUAUUAGCCACUCAGCUUAUGGUAUUUUUGUUAUAAUAUCCCAUGGACUAAAGUAGGUGGUUUAGAGCCAAUCCAGUAUUGUAGAUAGCAGGUCCCAGUUUUUGCAGAGCAGGCAAAACCUCCAGUAGAGCAAUUAUAUGACAAUCCUACAAAUCUAGUUGGGUCUCUAUAAUCUGGAUAGCCUUUUGAAUACUAAAAUUGGUAUAGCCUCUUGUCCAGCUUUGAGGAAUCCAAAGUUGAAAAAAAAGACUUAAUUUA
This 1115-nucleotide long non-coding RNA is filed under the name Marmota monax (woodchuck). Lineage: Eukaryota; Metazoa; Chordata; Mammalia; Rodentia; Sciuridae. The record is from RNAcentral.